AAAGGCCUACCAAGGCGACGAUCCGUAACUGGUCUGAGAGGAUGAUCAGUCACACUGGAACUGAGACACGGUCCAGACUCCUACGGGAGGCAGCAGUGGGGAAUAUUGGACAAUGGGCGAAAGCCUGAUCCAGCCAUGCCGCGUGUGUGAAGAAGGUCUUCGGAUUGUAAAGCACUUUAAGUUGGGAGGAAGGGCAGUAAGUUAAUACCUUGCUGUUUUGACGUUACCAACAGAAUAAGCACCGGCUAACUUCGUGCCAGCAGCCGCGGUAAUACGGAAGGUCCGGGCGUUAUCCGGAUUUAUUGGGUUUAAAGGGAGCGUAGGCCGCCCCUUAAGCGUGUUGUGAAAUGCGGGUGCUCAACAUCCGACUUGCAGCGCGAACUGGGGGGCUUGAGUGCGCCGAAAGUAGGCGGAAUUCGUGGUGUAGCGGUGAAAUGCUUAGAUAUCACGAAGAACUCCGAUUGCGAAGGCAGCUUACUGUAGCGCAACUGACGCUGAUGCUCGAAAGCGUGGGUAUCGAACAGGAUUAGAUACCCUGGUAGUCCACGCGGUAAACGAUGGAUGCUCGUUGUCGGCCUUUGUGGUCGGUGACCAAGCGAAAGCGUUAAGCAUCCCACCUGGGGAGUACGCCGGCAACGGUGAAACUCAAAGGAAUUGACGGU
Molecule: ribosomal RNA, 662 nt
Filed under: uncultured bacterium
Lineage: Bacteria
Description: bacterial SSU rRNA
Rfam family: Bacterial small subunit ribosomal RNA
Source: RNAcentral